This 8880-nucleotide long non-coding RNA is filed under the name Homo sapiens (human). RNAcentral's name for it is "HSALNT0241401". Lineage: Eukaryota; Metazoa; Chordata; Mammalia; Primates; Hominidae. The record is from RNAcentral.
UUUCCCGGAGGACUAAAACAUCCACAUAGACAGAGCAGUGUUUAUUCUGUUUGCAGCUGUCUCCCAGCAUCUGGGAACUUAAGGAGGCUUCUGAGGAGGCUUCUGGGGAGUGGCCAAGGCCACUCCCACUGCCAAAUGGCAGGUCCGGGAUCAUCCACUCCUUUCUGCAGGGACCAGCAACUUGGUGGGAGGAAAUAGGCCUUGGAUAUAAACAUCUUGGGCUUAGAUCCUGGCUCCGCCUUUUAAAACAAGGCAGCAGACUUCCCAUCCACAUAUUUCCACAUGCAAACAGCAGGGACGGUGGUAUCUGCUCCUGGGUAGAGCAAGGAUUUGGAAGGAUGGUAACUGACACCAGGCCUGGCAACCAGUGGGCACUCAGGAAGUGCUAGCUCCCCAAUUCCUCCAGCUCACAUCAGAGAAGCUGAUACUUAGACUGACUUAGACCUUUUUUUUUUUUGAGACAGAGUCUCGCUGUGUCGCCCAGGCUGGAGUGCAGUGGCGCAAUCUCAGCUAAUUACAACCUCCGCCUCCUGGGUUCAAGCAAUUCUCCUGCCUCAGCCUCCCCAGUAGCUGGGAUUACAGGCACCUGCCACUAUGCACAGCUAAUUUUUCAUAUUUUUAGUAGAGGCAGGGUUUCACCAUGUUGGUCAGGCUGGUCUUAAACUCCUGACCUCAGGUGAUCCGCCUACCUUGGCCUCCCAAAGUGCUGGGAUUACAGGCGUGAGCCACUGUGCCCGGCCUCUUAGACUUCUUUUUUUUUUUUUUUUUUUUUUUGAGACAGAGUCUCGCUCUGUCACCAGGCUGGAGUGCAGUGGUGUGAUAUCUCAGCUCACUGCAACCUCCGCCUCCUGGGUUCAAGCGAUUCUUGUGCCUCAGCCUCCUGAGUAGCUGGGAUUACAGGCACGUGCCACCACAUCCAGCUAAUUUUUGUAUUUUUAGUAGAGACAGAGUUUCACCACGUUGGCCAGGCUGGUCUUGAACUCCUGGCCUCAUGAUCCGCCCACCUCAGCCUCCCAAAGUGCUGGGAUUACAGGCGUGAGCCACUGCGCACGGCCUCUUAGGCUUCUUCUUCUUUUUUUUAAUUUUAUUUAUUAUUAUACUUUAAGUUUUAGGGUACAUGUGCACAAUGUGCAGGUUUGUUACAUAUGUAUACAUGUGCCAUGUUGGUGUGCUGCACCCAUUAACUUGUCAUUUAGCAUUAGGUAUAUCUCCUAAUGCUAUUCCUCCCCCCUCCCCGCUUAGUAGACUUGUCCUCCUUCCUAGCUGCUGAUGGUUCUCAAGUAAGCCUUGAGUAGCAUCGCCAGGGGGCGCUGGCAGUAACAGAACCAGCUUGGAAGCGAUCUUCACAGACUUGCUGACUUGGCAAACAGCCCUGACACUGUGGGGUUUUUGGACUUUUGCCUAUCAGUGGAAAAUGUCGCCCUUCUGGUUCCCUAAUAUCUGGUUUGGUUAAUCACCUCCCAUGAACUUUGACUCUGCCAGUGUUUCCAGCUCUAAAAAGCCUCUGAACCUGAGUUGGAACUAAUUCAACAACAGGACUUGUUAGCAAAUGUCUUCAGCCUAACCACCCCCAAACUGAGCUGAGGCACCCCGGGGCACUGCAGAUAACUCAGAAGGGCGCCAAAUGGAUAUCUGACAUUUGAGGGAAACGGCCACCGCAGUAUCUGCAGGACACCGCGUGAACUACUCGCUCGAGACAGUUCAGCUUCAAAGUACGAUCACGCACGUGACAUUCCCUUUGAUAAUGUAUCUCUAUGAAGCUAUGUUUUUGCAGGUCACUGUGAUUAAAAGUACUUCAAGGAGAAAAUGUGGGAUAUGAAGGUGGUGGUGUCCUAUCUGAUUUCAAGGGUUGAGAUGUGCAACAAGGCAUACAUCCCGUUAAUAAUCUGGCGGUUUGGAAAUGGAAGGACCCUUUUUCUUUCAACUUAUGUCACGCUUUUCAAAUGGCUACUAAGUUGUUAGGAUAAAGACUUAUUAUUCGACCUCACUGCUUCAUAAACAGAACUGUUGGGUAUUUGUUUUGGCCUGGGUUGCCCUGAAACAAUGACUGAGAUAUUAACAGGGCUGUGAUCCAAAAGAGUUGGGGAAACUUGGCUUUAACUUUGCAGAAAUCUGUAAGUCCUCUUAGAGUGUCCCGUCCAUGCUAAAAAUAUUUCCAACCACCCAGACCAAAGAGGUGGGAGGAGAUACUUCAAAAUACAAGGUGCUUUAGAAGUCGGUGCCAGAGGAGAAAGCAGCCCAGCCUUCCAGGCCAAGCUGGCUGCCCGUCUGGCCACCCCUCCUCUCUGAACUUCCGUGUUCCUCAUCCGUAAAAUGAGGGGGCUGGACUGCGAUGAGGAUAUUCAUGAGAACUAAGAUCUAAUGCCCACUUAUCAUUUCCCAGGCACCGGUAAAGCCCUUUCUAAGCAUUAGUUAUUCAGAUCUUACAAUAGCCUGUAAGCUGGUGGGAUCAUUAUCCCCAUUUUAUAGAUGAAGAAGCUGAAGCCUGGGCAAGUAAUUUGCCCAAGGUCACUGGGUAUAAGAGAUCACAGCAGCGCUUUUACUCGGGCAAGCCUGACUCCAGAGCUGCCAGCUACUCUGCCUCCUGAAGGCCUUUCCAUGCUGAACUUUUUUUUUUUUUUUUUGAGACAAGGUCUCCCUUGGUUGGCCAGGCUGGAGUGCAGUGGCACAAUCACAGCUCACUGCAGCCUCGACCUUCCCGGGCUCAAGCGAUCCUCCCAUCUCAGCCUCCCAAGUAGCUGAGACUAUAGGUGCCAUGCCCAGCUAAUUUUUGUAGAGAUGGGGUUUCGCCAUAUUGCCCAGGCUAGUCUUGAACUCCUAGGCUCAAGUGAUUCUCCCACCUCGGCCUCCAACAUGUUGAGAUUACAAGUGUGAGCCACUGUGCCUGGCAUCCAUGCUAAUGUUUUAAAAUACACUUAGGACUGAGCAUCCCCAGGUGGAAGCACUGUCAGCAAUGAGCCUACUGCCUGAUACAGAAGCCACUUCCUUCCCCUCAAUUGCCUGCACACUGAACACUGGGGAUCACUUUUUCCUCCUUGAACUUCCCUCUUGUUUUCUUUGGUAUUCUUUUUUUUGAAACGGAGUUUCGCUCUUGUUGCCCGGGCUGGAGUGCAAUGGCGUGAUCUCGGCUCACCGCAACCUCCGCCUCCUGGGUUCAAGCGAUUCUCCUGCUUCAGCCUCCUGAGUAGCUGAGAUUACAGGCAUGCGCCACCACGCCCGGCUUUUUGUAUUUUUAAUAGAGAUGGGGUUUCUCCAUGUUGGUCAGGCUGGUCUCGAACUCCCGACCUCAGGUGAUUCACCCGCCUCGGCCUCUCAAAGUGCUGGGAUUACAGGCGUGAGCCACCACACCCAGCCUUCUUUGGUAUUCUUUUUUUUUUUGAGACGGAGUCUCAUUCUGUCGCCCAGGCUGGAGUGCAGUGGCAUGAUCUUGGCUCACUGCAACCUCUGCCUCCCAGGUUCAAGCGAUUCUCCUGCCUCGGCCUCCCGAGUAGCUGGUGGCGCCAUCAUGCCUGGCUAAUUUUUUGGUAUUUUUAGUAGAUACGGGGUUUCACUGUGUUAGCCAGGAUGGUCUCGCUCUCCUGACCUCAUGAUCUGCCCACCUCGGCCUCCCAAAGUGCUGGGAUUACAGACGUGAGCCACCGCACCCAGCCUCUUCUUUGGUAUUCUUAUCUGUUUUAUUCCAUCAAUAAAAAAAGGCGUAAGAGCAAUUCUAUAAAUUCUUUUGAAGAUUCCAGGAAUGUAAACUAUGUGAAAGGGGCUACCACAGUACUGUGCACAGAUGUCCAAUGAAUAUUAGAGGGUCCCGCCUUAUUUUCUCACCUCUAUCGAGGUAUUUUCCUCUGAUCCUUGUGCUAUUUUCCUUCUAAACACGUGUCCAGGACUGAAGGCUGCUCACCUUUACCCCAAUAUAAAUGUCUAUCCCCCAUUACAACUCGGGUUCCUUCAGGUCAGGCCUGUGGAUUUCACAUCUCUGUCCCCAGCCCCUGCACAUUGUCUGGCACAGAGCAGGUGUUUGGUGACAGCUGGGUUGACUUGGCCAGGGCCACAUUAUCCCAGAUCAGCAGCAGAGCCAAAGCAAAGCUCCCAGAACUCCACACUUGAGCCAGAUGUUCUAAAAGGAGUGAUUCUUAACCCUUUUUGGGCUACAGACCCCUAUGAGGAUCUGGGAAAUGAUAUGAAUUAUUCUUUAAAAAUGUGUGAUUGCCCAUACAUGCAACACAGAAACACUUUUUUUUUUUUUUUUUUUUUUGAGACAGAGUCUUGCUCUGUCGCCCAGGCUGGACUGCAGUGGCAUGAUCUUGGCUCACCGCAACCUCCGCCUCCUGGGUUCAAGCGAUUCUCCUGCUUCAGCCUCCUGAGUAGCUGAGAUUACAGGCAUGCGCCACCACGCCUGGCUAACUUUUUGUAUUUUUAAUAGAGACAGGGUUUCUCCAUGUUGGUCAGGCUGGUCUCGAACUCCCGACCUCAGGUGAUUCACCCGCCUCGGCCUCUCAAAGUGCUGGGAUUACAGGCGUGAGCCACCACACCCGGCCUUCUUUGGUAUUCUUUUAUUUUUGAGACGGAGUCUCAUUCUGUUGCCCAGGCUGGAGUGCAGUGGUGUGAUCUUGGCUCACUGCAACCUCUGCCUCCCAGGUUCAAGUGAUUCUCCUGCCUCAGCCUCCCGAGUAGUUAGUAUUACAGGCAUGCGCUACCACACCCAGCUAAUUUUUUAUAUUUUUGGUAGAGACGGGGUUUCACCAUGUUGGCCAGGCUGGUCUCGAACUCCUGACCUCAAGUGAUCUGCCCGCUUUGGCCUUCCAAAGUGCUGGGAUUACAGGCGUGAGCUACUGCGCCUGGCCGACAAACACUCUUUUGAAUAAAUUUCCUAGAAUUCAUGGAUCCUAUCAAUCCAUCCACUGACUAGGAUAAGAACUUCUACAUGGCCGUUAAAAAGCAUAAGAGAGUUGUAUAUAUGCCAAUAAGGAAAUCUGUCAUAUUAUUGCAUGAAAAAAACAUGGUACAGAAUAGUCCCUAGAGUAGGAUCCCAUUUCUUGUGGGGUUGGGGGACAGGGUCUCACUCUGUUGUCCAGGCUGGAGUGCAGUGGUACGAUCUUGGCUCACUGCAGCCUCUACUUCCUGGGCUCAAGCGAUCCUCCCACCUCAGUCUCCCGAGUAGCUAGGACCACAGGUGUAUGCCACCAUGCCUGGCUAAUUUUUUUUCUUUGUAGAGAUGGGGUCUCUACAAAGAAGUGCUAGGAUUAUAGGUAUAAGUGCCGCACCGCCUGAUCUUUCUUUUUUUUUUUUUUUUUGAGGCAGAGUCUCACUCUGGUGUUGCCAGGCUGGAGUGCAGUGGCACAAUCUCGGCUCACUGCAACCUCUGCCUCCUGGGUUCAAGCAAUUCUGCCUCAGCCUCCCAAGUACCUGGGACUACAGGCACCCGCCACCACACCUGGCUAAUUUUUGUAUUUUUAGUAGAGAUGGGGUUUCACUGUGUUGGCCAGAUCUCCUGACCUUGUGAUCCACCACCCUUGGUCUCCCAAAGUGCUGGGAUUACAGGCAUGAGCCACAGGCCUGGCCUGAUCUUACUUCUUUUUUUUUUUUUUUUUUUUUUGAGACUGAGUCUUGCUCUGUCACCCAGGCUGGAGUGCUGUGGCGUGAUCUUGGCUCACUGCAACCUCCGCCUCCCAGGUUCAAGCAAUUCUCUGCCUCAGCCUCCUGAGUAGCUGGGAUUACAGGCACCUGCCACCACACCCGGCUAAUAUUUGUAUUUUUAGUAGAGAUGGGGUUUCACCAUCUUGGCCAGAGGCUGGUCUUGAACUCCUAACCUUGUGAUCCACCUGCCUCAGCCUCCCAAAGUGCUGGGAUUACAGGUGUGAGCCACCGUGCUCGGCCCUGAUCUUACUUUUAAUUGCAAACAAAUAUAGGCUCAUUAUAAAAGAAUGCAAAUGAUACCAAAAAAAGCAAAAGUCUCCAUUCCCCAGUCCUAUUCUCAGAGGUAACUGCCCUUUGACAGAUAUCUUUUUAGACUUUUGAAAUUUCUUUUUUAUUUCUAUUUUUUACUCUUUUGUAGACAUGCGAUCUCGCUAUGUUGCCCAGGCUGGUCUCCACCUCUUGGCCUCAAGCAAUCCUCCCACCUCAGCCUCCCAAAGUACUGGGAUUACAAGCGUGAGCCACUGUACCCAGCCUGGACUUUUUAUGCGUGUAUAAACAAGUAGUUGUUUCUUCUAUUAAAAUGGGAUCCUGGUGGGGCACAGUGGCUCACACCUGUAAUCCCAGCACUUUGGGAGGUUGCCCAGGAGUUUGAGUCCAGCCUGGGCAACAUAGUGAGAUCCUGUUUCUACAAAAAAUAAAAAAUUAGCUGGGUGUGGUGGUGCGUGCCUAAAGUCCCAGCUAUGUGGGAAGCUGAGGCAACAGGGUUGUUUGGGUCUGUGGGGCUGAGGCUGCAGUGAGCUGUGAUCAUGCCACUGCAUACUAGCCUGGACAACAGAGCGAGAUCCUGUCUCAAAAAAAAAAAAAAAAGAAAGAAAAGAAAAAAGAUCAAACAAAACCUUAAAAAUAAAAACAACUGCAUCAAACCCUGGACCUAUGGCCAAUCAGCAUCUAGAUCAGGAGGAUGAAGGGAGUGCUGGCACUGCCACGUGACACCUUACACACUGGAUUCUCCCCAAGGAGCAUCAGGGGGGCACAGACUUGCUCUGAUCCGAUGUGCAGCCUGACCUCUGAUGCCUGAUCCACCUCCCGGUCCCCAUCUCCUAAUCAGGGAACUGUUUCUCCUGCUCUUCCAGCUGAAAACCCUAAAGGACACCACUGCCUUGAGGGAAAGCAGGGGCUGUCUGCCCAACCAAUGGCAGCUGUGCAGGCUGCCAAAGAGCCAUCCCCACUGCAUUCUCCGGGGUGGGAAGGAAGUGGUUCUGUGAGUGGCAGCUCUGGUGGGCUUGAGCUGCAGCUCUGGUGCUGAGAAGUCCAUGCCUUGUGCUUGGAGCUUUUCCAACUGCCUUGCAGUGGAUGCGAGGGGCGAGACAUGGAGUAUUUAUCCUCUUCCACUAUAUUAGGGUUGUUUACCUUGUUGCCUGGGAGGACUCUUGAGGCCCUCAGCAGGGGAACAGCUGAGAAGCCCAGUGACUAAGCUCCCAGCACUGGGUGCGCGUCUCUUCACACUCUCACACUCUCCUCCCACCACCUCUCAAGAGGGACAGCUGAGCCUUCUCCGGUAGCCUGGGGAGGGGAAUUGCAGCUGAGCAGGUCAGGCACGUGGCCUUGGCCUCCCCCAGUGGAAGACGAUGAUCCACACUGGCAAGAACUCGGCAAGAACUCAGCACGCACUCAGCACGUGUUGCCAGUCAGGGGUGGUGAGGGCGGAGUUUUCGUAUUCGACACAGUGUGUCUGAAGUUUGGGGUGGUACCUGCAGAUAGUCCCCUCACUGGUCUCACCAUCCAGCCCAAGUACACACCAGGGAAGCCGGGUUUAUUCACAUCCCAGCUGUCUCCUCUCCCCUUAAGGCCACAGGCACCCUGGACGGUGGUGGCAGCGUCUGCUCUGAAUGGAGCCAGCGUGUGCCAGGCUUUUGUGCUCUGGCUACAGUGAGCAUUUCCUGUGUCAGGUUGGUGCUCCAAAAGUUUUGGAUUUUGGAGCACUUCAGAUUUUGGGUUUUCAGAUUGCGGAUGCUCUACCUGUAUUUGUUGCUUUUCUUUCGGGGAUUGGAGUGUCUCUGACAUAAGCCACUUGAAACAAGGUAUAUCUCAGAGCUUACUUCACCCUGCCCAGAGGGCCAAGGGGAUGGUCCACAGAAACGCGCCUUAGGUCCUGGUGCUGGCUUUGAGGCCGAGAGCUUUGACUGGGGACAAGGUGGCUUCCAAUCAAGAUGAUCUGAGAGUUGGGGGUGGGGGAAAGGUUGGUGACAGGGAGAAGGACCGACACCUGUAAGGUCUGUCGGUCUGCAGCCGCCACCGAUGCUCCCUCUGGGCCCGGAUAGUGUGAUCUGACAGGAGGAGGCCUCAGCUCCAGGCCCAGCAUGCCACACUGUCCUCUCUGCUCUCCACUUCUAACAUCAGUGAGAUGAAGGGGUGGGAGGGGUGAUUCCUGUCUUCUGUCUCUACUCAAAACUCUAGGACAAGAAGUCUAUCUUCUUCCCUCUUCUUCCUGAAGAGUGGUUGAAAGCCGAACUCUCAGGUCAGACAGACCUGGUCUGAUUCAGGGCUCUUGCCACCCGGCCAGUGACUUCCUGUCUUGCCAAGCUUCAUGUCCCCAACAUGUCUGUCUUGCAGGACUGUGGCACGCCUGGCCAACAGGGGGCACAGCUCCGACUCUGGCAGAUCUGCCCACUCCCACUGAGGCUGGCUUCCUCCUAGAAGCACCCCACAGGUGGAGGCUACUGCUUUCCUAUCAUCUGGCCCAGGUCAGGGGCGGCCUCCUAUGUGGUUCAGGGGUUUUACCUCAGUGUGAAUUUCAUGACGCUCCAACCAUCUUCCACGUUGGGACUUGCCCCUCAGGCCCUGGCUGUAUUGAGACACCGAGGCCACGUGUGUCCUCUCACACUGCCUCUCACAUACACACAUGCCAGGGGCAGCAGCCAGGCCAGGACACGUGACAGGCUGCUCCCUUCCAGUUCCAGCCGACCUCAGGUGGCUAGUGAUAGCCAAGUUCUGUUCACAAGUCAGACCCACGGCCACCCUGCGACUGUCCUGGACAGAAAGCAGAGGGAACACACCAGGCCCCCUUCCUGGCUUCCCUCUUCACUCAGCCCCUGAGCCCUGGCGUACCUUUUUGACAGCGCACUGGAAGCCAGUCUGCUUGUCCUCCAUCCUGUGCACCUCUCCGAAGGAGCCUCUGCCCAGGCAGGGGCUUUGGACUGUCUACACAGGCCAGUUUGCUCAGGUGUGGGUCAGGCAAGGGUUUCUGGC